UAAAUUUCUGAGAAAUAUAGACAUUAAUAGCUUUCUAAAAAGGUAAAACUCGUAUUUUUCCUUGAAGUGAUUGAUUUUAUAUGAUUUUCCAAAGUUAGGAUUCAAAUGUGUAUGUGUCUUGAUUAAACUUGUGAUUGGUAGUUAAUUGAGAUCCUACACUACUAAACUUGAAUUAAGGUUUUAUUGUUCUAAUUACCUAUUGAGGAUUAUUGAUUACUAAGCUUGUUAAUAUGAUAGUUGAUGGACAUAAUUAUGUUUGUAUGAUUAAUUACUUUGGGAUUUUGUGUUUUACAUGUAUGGUUAGUUGUAAACUGAUCUCUAUGGAAUGGAUUUGUUUACUUCUAAACUUUCUCUAGUAGAGGAAUUCUUAUAAGAUAGGAAUAUUAGUUUAUACGUUCUUAAAGUUCAUAGAGUCAGUAUAUUGAUUAGUUUAGUUGAUGCAACCUUAGCAGUUUAUUGGGAUGUUAUUUAUAGCUAAUUCUUCUUAUCUAGUUAUCCAAUCUUAUUUUAGAAUCUUGCUAUUAUGAAGGUGACAGUAGCAAUGAUAGAUAAGUGAGCAAGAGUUUCUACAUCGUUAAGCGUAUCAGGUGGGCUUUCUAAACUCAGAAUUUGAAGUGCGCACUAUUUAAUGAUGUUUAUAUGAAUGAAAGUUAUAUUAAAGUUAUUGACUUGCCAAAUUAUUUUAUGAGCUUGUAUGUUACCAUCUACGAGAGAUAGACGAUAUCGGCCCUAUGCUGAAGCGAGAUGUCAGUAAGGGUUUGUGCACAUAGUUGUGACCGUGAGUCAUCGAGCGGGUUGGCUGGUCACUGUGAUCGGGAGCCUUCGGGCCGAUCACUGUGUUUGAGAAGGAGGCCUACUUCUCAACACAAGGUUACAUGAAGCGUAGUUAUGGUACAUACAUGUUAAUUGUCUGCAGACGUAUAUGAUGUUAUGAUGAUAUAUAUAUAGAAGUUUUAGAGUUUUGGCGUGCACAGGUUAUUUUUAAAUAAAACUCCUGUGUGAUGCUUGAGAUGGCAAGUUCAAUAUAUAGCUCUAAGAGCAAACUUUAAAGUUAUUUCGGCAUGUGACCAUUGGGUACCUUUUUAGUACUCAGCCCUGCAUAUGUUUUCUAAAUAUGCAGGUUAAGCUGUGAUGCGGAUGGAAGCGAGCAGAACAAAGUCUUAAAGAUAAUGUAUUAAAUUAGGCUCAGGAUUUCAUGUCCUCAUACAUGUAAUCCACUUGAGUUAUUUCCGCUGCAACACUUAAUGUACUUUACUUUAUUGAUGUGUUGUACAGAUUUUAAACCAAUAGCUUCG
Molecule: long non-coding RNA, 1295 nt
Filed under: Salvia miltiorrhiza (redroot sage)
Lineage: Eukaryota; Viridiplantae; Streptophyta; Magnoliopsida; Lamiales; Lamiaceae
Description: long non-coding RNA (SMIL_LNC010504)
Source: RNAcentral